CCUACGGGGUGCAGCAGUGAGGAAUAUUGGUCAAUGGACGAGAGUCUGAACCAGCCAAGUAGCGUGAAGGAUGACUGCCCUAUGGGUUGUAAACUUCUUUUAUAUGGGAAUAAAAUGUUCCACGUGUGGGAUUUUGUAUGUACCAUAUGAAUAAGGAUCGGCUAACUCCGUGCCAGCAGCCGCGGUAAUACGGAGGAUCCGAGCGUUAUCCGGAUUUAUUGGGUUUAAAGGGAGCGUAGGUGGAUUGUUAAGUCAGUUGUGAAAGUUUGCGGCUCAACCGUAAUAUUGCAGUUGAAACUGGCAGUCUUGAGUACAGUAGAGGUGGGCGGAAUUCGUGGUGUAGCGGUGAAAUGCUUAGAUAUCACGAAGAACUCCGAUUGCGAAGGCAGUUCACUGGACUGCAACUGACACUGAGGCUCGAAAGUGUGGGUAUCAAACAGGAUUAGAUACCCCAGUAGUC
Molecule: ribosomal RNA, 460 nt
Filed under: uncultured bacterium
Lineage: Bacteria
Description: partial 16S ribosomal RNA
Rfam family: Bacterial small subunit ribosomal RNA
Source: RNAcentral